This 261-nucleotide unclassified non-coding RNA is filed under the name Hevea brasiliensis (rubber tree). The record is from RNAcentral. Lineage: Eukaryota; Viridiplantae; Streptophyta; Magnoliopsida; Malpighiales; Euphorbiaceae.
AAUUGGUAAACUACAAAAGAAUAUAAUUAUCAUUUUCAGCGACUGUUAAACAUAAAAUACACCAUCGAAUAAGGAAGCAAAACCUAUUGUGCCAAAUUGCCACCAUCACAUAAUGUUGCCUGCCAAGGAUCACCAAUUUAUUAAGGUGGGAUGUCUGAGAUUUCCUUAUUUCAACUGAAGCUUGCUGUAAAAAAAACUUUUUCAGUUUUGCUGAUGCACAUCAAUAUAGACAGCCCAGUUUGUAGGCAAAAACAAAAAAAA